AAGGAGGCCCCCUUUGCAAUGCGCAUCAACGCUCACCUUCACUGCUCGAGUUAUACGUCCCGCCUAGCCAAAUUAAUCGUAAUAGGUAAUAAUUAAUUCGAUUGCACAAAUUAAUUAUUGAAUGAGUCUAGGUUAAGCUACUAGCAGGAUACAACAAGUGUAUCGUGCCAAGCCAGAGCCAAGACUGCCUUAGCCGAGUGACACCGUUCGUUUUAUACACGUCAGAACAAUUCGAGUAAUAUAAUAACUGAGGGUAGGUGACUAUCGAACGAUGUGCUAGGUGGCGCGUCGAUCACCCCACUACUCUAACAGCUAAUAAUUGACAACUGACAUUAUCUGAAUACACCCAAGUCAAACACUUGACGUUCCGUAUUCAUACUCUGCGACAUAUAUUU
This 395-nucleotide unclassified non-coding RNA is filed under the name Melitaea cinxia (Glanville fritillary). RNAcentral describes it as "misc RNA ENSMCXG00005002052.1". The record is from RNAcentral. Lineage: Eukaryota; Metazoa; Arthropoda; Insecta; Lepidoptera; Nymphalidae.